UGUUUUUUGUAACCUGCUGACUGGUGAAGGGACAACGUGUGCUCCUCAACACUUGGUUCUUGCCACGUGCCGCAGCAGACUGACAGCUUCCAGUGGGCCUGUCUGAGGGGAGUGACCUCCGCCGCAUUGCUUCAGCAGCCUUCAAGUCCCGGCAAUGAAACGGUUCGUGUGAGGAAGACUGCUUCUGGUGCUACUGGUGGAAAUUGUUACUAGUGUGUAAGUAUGUGGUAAAUAUCUGUGGAAACCAAAGGAUGUUUUCACUCGUACCAAACGUUAUGGUCAUGGAGAUACCUCUCUUCCUGCACACAAAACAACUACAACCACCUAAUUAUUACACACACACUCCUAUACCAGCCUCGGAGUCCCCAUCUGGUAACGACCCUAAAUGUCUUGACACCCCUCUCAGUUUUUCUUCUUAAACUUCUACAGAUUGAACGCGAAUGUUGCAGAACAUUGCCUCUCCUCUAUUAAGCUUCAUCAUCCUUUCCUCAAUGAAACCCUGGUGUCUGAGGCAACUGACAGUAGCCCCUUUUCAGUUUCCUUUUACUUUCUCUAUCCAAAGCUGGAUGUUGUGUUUAUGUGCGCAAUGAAAUUAACCUGCUUUCGUGCCCACGCUCUUGAAUCUUUUGGGUUUUCCACCACCUGGCUACGACAACAGAGUCCCUUUCAUACUAAAUUUAUCUGUGUUGUAUACCUUUCACCUAACUCCUCUGACUGUAAGAAAUUCUUUGACUACUUAACUUCCAAAGUGGAGCACAUUCUAACUCUCUUCCCUUUUACAGGGAUCUCCAUUCUUGGAGACUUCAAUGUUCACCACCAGCUUUGGCUUUCCUCUCCCUUCACUGACCAUCCUGGUGAACUAACCUUUAAAUUUGCUAUCCUCCAUGACCUAGAGCAAUUGGUGCAACACUCUAAUCGUAUUCCUGACCGUCUUAGAGAUAUGCCCAACAUUCUUGACCUUUUCCUGACCUCUAAUCCUUCUGCUUAUUCUGUUACCCUCUCUUCUCUGUUGGGCUCUCCGAUCACAUCUAGUAUCUGUAUCUUGUCCUAUCACUCCAAUCCCUCCUCAGGAUCCCCUAAGCGAAGGUGCCUCUGGCGUGUUGGCUAUGCUAGUUGGGGGAACCUGAGGAGGUAUUUUGCUGAUUUUCCUUGGAAUGACUACUGCGUCCGUGACGGAGACCGCCCUGUGUGCCGAGUGCAUAAGAGGUGAUAGUGUCUGGCAUGGAGGCGUACAUUCCUCACUCUUUUUCUCGACCUAAACCUCCAAAACUUGGUUUAACAUAGCUUGUUCUCGUGCUAUACAUGAGAGAGAUGUGUCCCACCAAAGGUGCUUAAGCCUUCCAUCACCAGAAUCUCAUGCACUUUACAUUUCUGCCCGGAACCAUGCCAAGUCUGUUCUCCAACUAGCCAAAAACUCCUUCAUUAAUAGUGUCAAAACCUUUCAAGAUCUAAGUGCCCCCGUGACUUCUGCCACUUAACCCAAAAACAUCUAUAAUAACUUUGAUUCUUCUUUCCCUCCUUUAUUUCAACCAGAUGGCACCACUGCUAUCACAUCUAUCUCUAAAGCUGAACUCUUUGCUCAAUCCUUUGCUACAAACUCUACCUUGGACGAUUCAAGGUUUGUUCCUCUCUCUCCUCCACUAGCGUAGACAAGACUGUCAGUAUACAAUGGACAUGACACACUGAGGCAUCUGGUACUGCUUUGGCUCUAAAUGUUAUAAUAAUACUCUGCCACUUUGUUGACGAGUGACAAUACAACCUCUCGUUCCUCAGACUGUUUUUUUCACGUAACAGCUUCAAACCAAAUCCUGAAAUACUGAACCAACAUGAACCACCUCUGCUAUCAAGUAGUCAGCACUGUGAAGGGCUGUACAGUUCCUUACCUCACUAAAUAAUAAUACUUUCUGAUCCAAUCUGUCUCUGUCUGUCUGCUGCCAUGGCUUGACCUGCUCUUCUUUCAUCUGUAGCUUCCAUUCUGUCUGCCGUCUCCCUGCAUCCUCUUUUCCACCACACCAUCCUCCCUUGUGUGUUUGCUGCCACUGUCUAUCUAGAAAAAAAUGUUUUCUGCCAAACCUUGAACUAGUACAACAUGAACCACCUGUGGUCUAAUCUUUCUCCAGCAUUUCUUCUGUCCACUGUCACUGUCUGAACCAGUCACCUAACACACCAUCCUUCCUGCCACGGUCAUCCCUCUCUGAUGCUCUUCUCUUUCUCCCUCUCUCAGCGUGGUGGCAGCACGGGCCUCGGCACUCCCUGGCACCACGGCAGGUGUCAGUGAGGCAGGCAGGUGUUGGUUCAAGUCCUGGCAGUGUCACUUCGCUGCUGUAUUGUUUGGUGCAGCGGAUGAUGCUACGUUUUUCAUCACUUAGUGUAGAGUUUAUUUUUGCUUGACGUUAUUUGUGUUGGUAAGGCAUUUCCACUAUAUUUUUGCUUGACGUUAUUUGUGUUGGUAAGGCAUUUCCACUAUAUAGUGGUAGAUAUUCUGGGAAAUAAGGAAUUAGCAAUACUAAGACAUGCUUGAACAACACUCACCAGUGUGGAAGACUUGUCAGGCAGUGGCUGUAGUGGCUUCACUUGAACCACGACCAUGUUCUCCUCAACCCUUGGAAAGAGAACAAUUCAUCUGAAAUGGAGAUACAAAGAUAUUGGGGAAAAUUUAAGAGAGAGACGCUGCAAAGUGUAGCUGACAGUGUGCGUGUCGUCAUCAAGAGGAGGGGCUCUAAAAUGAAACAGUAGGACACUCGUGAAGACAUUCAUACUAUCUUUUCUCAAGGGAAGUGUGUGUCGUGUGUGUUAACAACGUCAGGCGCGGACAUUUUUUGCAUCAAGGGUGAUGUACGAUCCGGACAUGAAAAAAGUUUUUUUUCUUUUAUAAUUUUCUAAUUUUUUUCCGCUUCUUUUGAUAUAUGUAACGUUUUGAUAAGAACUAAAAAAAUCCCCUUAUGUAAAGAGGUCUUCUGUUAUGAAAUUCCCACGGUUUCGCCCGCUGCGAGACAUGUCACACAAGUUUUUUUUACAUUUUUUUUUCUCUUUUCAUAUAUUUUUCUGACAUACCCGUUCUUCUUCACUCUCCCAUGAAUAACUACGGUUCUCUUGCUGCAUACAAUAUUAGAAAGCACGAAAUUCUAGGUCUAACUAUUUUCUCAAAUUGAUAUACGAAAAAAAAAUCACAUAAUUAUUAUUUUUUUUCGUAAAUCUAGCAAAUAGUUAAUGUAUCUGCAUUAGAUAUCUUUUGCAUUAAUAUUUUAUUUAUUUUCAAACAAUUAAACACUGGUUUUUACUUAGAAAUAUGGCGAAAUAUAACAAAAAUUGUUUUCACCCGCCUUCUCCCCUCCCACCCGGUAAUUAAGGGUGAAAUCAUGAAUAGCUUUAGGCCUUAUACACAAAACCAAUCGGAGUAACUAAAACUAUGUCUGCUUUUUCAACAUAUUCUGAUGUAUAUAUCGCGUGAAUUUCAAGUCCCUGGCUGCAAUAGGUGAAUUAGUCACCCCUUAAACUUUAUGACAUAAUAUCUCAAAAUGGCGGAUUUUAGCAUAUAAAAAUGAUCUGGUCCGUUGUUAUUGGUGUUACACACAGAUGGGCUAUUGCGGCUUAUCAAACUGUGAGAGGCGAAUAAAGUCUGCUGUCGUCAUUUUUGUUUGGAGUUGAUUUUGAUUUUUGACAAAUAUUUGUUUUUUUUUUUUACUUUUCAUCGAAAAAAAAUCGUACAAUAAAAGAAAAAAGAUAGCAGACUUUGUUCUCCUAUCCUUCCUGAUCAAAAUACUUUUUAAAUAAAUGAGGGAGGAGAUACGAGUUGAACACAGGCAAUUUAACAUGGGAUUAGCGAUCCUUCAACCACCCUCAAGUGUAUGAAUAAAGGUGAUUAGUUACUUUGAUGUGGAAAGACUGUAAUUUGUAAAGAUGAGAAUAAAUGAGAAUAAAUUA
Scylla paramamosain (green mud crab) is the source of this 3924-nucleotide long non-coding RNA. RefSeq lists it as uncharacterized. The record is from RefSeq and is a predicted model, not a curated record. The transcript has 2 exons. Lineage: Eukaryota; Metazoa; Arthropoda; Malacostraca; Decapoda; Portunidae.